AUGAUGUUCACGAAAUGGUCUUAAAAAAUUCUAGAAAAAGAAAGAAGACGAUAUUUUUGUAAAUUCAAAAUUUUACGAUUUGCACACAUUUUUCUAACGUGAAAGUGUCUUACCUUCCCUAGAAUUGGAAGUUCAAUGGAUCCCCAGGUGUCCGCGGCCCAAUGAACCAGACCGGAUCCAAAAUCAGCCGUGAUAAUACCGCAUAAUGCAGCCAUUGCUAUAGAACUUAAAUUUUCCAAUCGUAAUCUGAUUAACACAAGCACAGAGUUCACGGCUAUGAGUGUGAUACAAAUCCCUACGCAGAUACACUCUUGCGUUCUUUUCCCUGAAAAAAUAUACGAGAAACCGAGCUACAGCUGUACAAUGAGAGCCUUAUCUAAUACGUACCGGUACUGUACAGAUUCGCAAGUUCCUGGGCACCUUUAUGAUUCGGACCCCAUCUAGGCACGGUCUUAUCUUCUUGCGACGUUGGUAUUACCGAAUUGGCAUUAGGAUCAUCCUCGAGCAUCGAGUUUUCAUAAAUCUGGCGCUCAGUCUUCACAGGAGCCAAGAAAUUGGUCGCCAUAGAACACGCGGCCGAUGCGGCUUGCCCCAGGCCAAGUUUUGGAUUUUUCUUCGAUGAAAUAAACAUAUUUGAAAGGAAUAUCGCUGAUGCAACGGUGUAACUAACGGUGACUGUGCGCACUCGCGAGGAGGUGAGAUCAAAGUGAAUGAAGAAAAAACAGAUUGAAGUGAUCUCAUUUAAUCGCACCAGUCACAAUCUUCGUCGUAUUAUUUAAAAGCUUCAUUGUGCGCACACGCAGCCAGCACCUUCGCGCUAUACGAACUCGCAUACAAAGAACACGUGAACGAGCGUAAAUCAGACAUAAAUAUACUCAUUGUGGGAUAUAAAGUAUUUUCUACUGACAAAGGAAGAAUGCGGAUUCUUGAUCGACGAGUUCGACGACAAAUAUAUUUGAUAGACACUUGCACCCCUCCUGUCAGCCUGUCACACAUACAAGGACGCAACAAGGCGUGCAUAUGUACUACAUGCAUGCAUACGCAUACUCGAUUGUUGAUUAAAGAAGAUGAAGAGGAACCGGCAUUUGUUCGCAAUGGGGUAAGCGUUACGAUACGACAUACGGCAUCGUACCUGCUUGCUGCUGCCGGCAGCUCCAAGGUGUCUCCUCGACGACGACGACGAGGGUCGACGUGAUCGCCGACACGCGAUGCGGCAGCCAUGCGAGGAUUGGUCUCGUUACAAAAUUUAAUUAGUCACUAAUGCGGGGUGAUUAGAACGGGGUGACACACAGCGACGAUAACGGCAACGGAAAGAAGAAGACGUUAGAGUCGUGCGUCUCUCGUACCGGUACGAUGAUACAACACAUGUAGUACAUAGACACACACACACAUGUACGCGUCGCAUCGUAUCGCAUCGCGUGCAUUCGCAAAAGACAUCACGCUCGCUCUUCACGCCGGCUACUCCCUAAAUUCCUAGUAAUAGAUAUCAUAUUCUUUUUCGGAGCCGACUUUUCGCACCGAAGCUACUACUCACAAUAAAAGGCUAACUAUAUAGGCCGAGUGGGCGCGAACCACUGCGUUAUAAAAGGCAGUCUUAGAGAGAGAGGGAGAGAGAGAGGAAAGUCAAAGAGAAAAAUAAUUGGCAAUGAUAAGGAGAGAAUGCGAGAAAGUAUGAAUGAAAGGGAAAAAGGGACGAGGAAGGGAAGGAAAAGAGAGAGCGAGGGAGAGACGGAAUGGAUAGAAAACGAGAGCGACAGCCGGCGGAAGAAGCGCGCGCGUGCGUUUCUGCUCGAAAGAGUCUCGAGGAUGAGCCAUGAAAAUAACGCGAUCGAAACGCGCGGCGAUUAAAAUGACUGAAAACAACUACCAAACGCGACGGAGGCGCUGUUACCUCUUCCCCGAGUUCCCCGUUCGUUACCCGCCACCCACAUACUCGUACAUUCCCCGCGAUCGGCGCCGCCCGACGAUGACUACGACGGCCCGUCAGCGUCGCGACGCCGUUUCUUGUGGCGCCGUCAUGCGGUUGAUUGUGGAUAUAUGUGAUGCGAGCGUCGAUGCGCGUACAUAUAUGUUAGUUAUGUACAUACGUGCGCGAUUAGCGCACACGCACACAUCAAUGGCCAGAGGCCACAUGCCGAAUGCUGACGACACAUGCGUGCCGAGACGCGCGCACGCUCUUCUCUCUCUUUCCCUUUUUCUCUCUUUUUGUAUGAGCGACGCUCACGUCGCGUGCGAGGUCUCGUACAAUUUUUCAGUCCUUGAUCGAAUUAACCCUUUCGAGGAAAAUAAAAACUCAUUUAUAUAUUUUAACUGCAUUUUUCCCUUUACAUAUGAAUUUUAUUCAGCGACGCGAAAAUUUAAUAUAUUUACGUAAAGAAAACUAUAUAAUUUACUUUGAUAUUCUUACUCAUUCAUUCUCUGAUUUGCUAGUAAAUUAUAUAUAUAUCGAAAUGAACGAUAUUUUGAAGCUACAUGUAUAUAUAUAAUAUUUGUUGCUAAUUAUUUUUUCUCAUCGUUAUAUCAUCGCGCGCGCGCCUCGCGAUAUUUGUAAAGCAAACACGUGUACUAAAUUUUAAAUCUUGCACAUAUUUACGUGCCUAAGAGAAUUAACCAAUAUACUAUAUAUACCGCAUACUAUAUAAGGUCACUUAAUGAAGCCUUUCGUAGUUACACAAGGACAAUGUGCCUCAUAGAUAUUGGAAAUCGUUAAUGACAUAAUACGUAUCUCCGUGUAUCGAUUUUAUAAUUUGGACGCUUUCUCAAUCUAUCAAUUUAAUCCCUGUGGAAUUGUUUUUCUUUAUCCAAAAAUGUAGAUUUAAAAUUAAAAUAGAGCUGAGAUACUUUGCUUUUCAUAUUUUAUAUACACGUGCAUUUUAUAUGUGGUCAUAUAUUUUAAAGUAAAAAAUAAUAUAGAAUUUACACAUACACACAACACAAUUCAUACUUAAAUUACCCUUAAAUCAAAACGUGUAGAUGGCUAAGGUAAAGGACUCACUUGUCGCAGUGUAGUUUAUAUACGAUUAUGCGUAUCCUCGAUUAGCGCGCACACGUUACUUCCUACUAUACACAUAUAACAUGUGAUGUUUCACAAAGUAUUCAUACUUUAUUUAGAAUCUACUUCCAUCGUCGAGGACAAACUCGAUUCUCUUUAUUCGAAAUAAUAAUACGACCGUUAAGACCAUUAAAGCACAAUGGAUUAUACACCACAAUGCAAAUGUACUCGCGAUAAUAAAGUCUCAUAUCAGAUAUCCCGACAAUCAUCGCGAUAUUUGCAAAGAAAUUUUGUCAUUUUCUUCAAAAUCGAUCGAUUUCUAAUCUAUAUUAGAAAUAGUUUGGAUUAACUUGGCAAUCCGUCAAUAUUUUCAAACGUCAACACAAUCAACAAUACCAUAAUGAACAGAGAUUGAUUUCACCCGCAUAUAUAUAUGUGUAUGGGUGUUUUUCUAUGUAUAUACAUAUAUAUGUACAUGUAUAUGUGAACGGUUAAUUAUUUAAGAAAGAAGCCAAAUGUCACACUUUGAAGGUGUACUGCGAAUAUCUAUUCUCUGUGUGUAGAAUACAUACUAUAGAACAAUAUAUAUAUAUAGUAUAUUAUAGAUUAUAAUUGCGCAGACAAUUAAAUAAUUUCUGAAUGAAGUCUUUAGAUUUGAAAACAUCGAAAUUACGUGAAUGAUAAUUUUCAUACCACGAUUCAAGUAUAAGAUUUUAAAGAAACAUAUAAUUUUGAUUGAAACACACACGAUCAGUUUCCUAUGAAUGAAAUGCGGGAAAGUAAAAUUAAUUUGAUAUAAAUUUACCGAAAUUAUUGCACUAUUUACAAAACUAUUUCAAUUUAAUGAGAUUAAUCUGAAAUUUGAAAAGACAAAAGUGAAAAAUUCAUCAACAAUUACAUGAUAUGGAUUAUAUAGAUAUUUAAGUACUACAUAUCAUAUUAUAAAUUGCCUUUGAUUAUAUAAUAUUUUAAUAUAAUCUUGAAGACUUUUUUUUUUAAUGAAGAAAGGAAAAAGUCCGACUCGCGAGACAUGGCUUUAAGAUAAUCAUGGUCUGUGUUUCUAGGCAGGAAAAGUCGAUACCUCGGAAAAGUGUAACACACAAGUUUCGACCGAACCUUCUGUUAUUUUGCGAUGAAACGAAAGCGAAAUAUCUAGGUAUAUGUAAGUAGGUGUAUGUGUGUAUACCUAUAUGUACAUAUAUAUAACUUUAUGACCGUCUCUUACAGUCAUAUAGAUAGCGAGUGACUAUAACGUCAUCGUAGAGCGAAUAUUCGAACAAGUCGCGGCUAAAAUGGCUUCUAUUAGACUCACGCACGCAUCCAUUCUCCAUUAUUAUAUUUUUGUCAGUAUGCAUAUGUGCGUGCCGACUAUGCGUGUUACACUUGUAAAUGAAUGAUUAUAAUCUUUCAUCGGAGCAUCACGCGAUACGUAUUUCCCUAUUUUAAUCUACAUUUGGAUUUUAUCAUUCUUUUAGUUCAAUUAUAUAUCGUCGUUAUCGAAAAUUUGCACGAGUUUACGAGAAUCUCAAUGAUAGGAAUGUAUUGAAAAUAAGAGCAUUAUUAGAUCUCGCUAGCUUUGCUACUUUAUUGUUUUAAAAUAAAAAGGCUCUAUAUAAAUGAAGAAGAAAGAAAGAGAUAGAAAAAGAGACAUUCUCUUCCACUGCAUAUUAAAAUAGAUUGAAUCUAAA
Molecule: long non-coding RNA, 4680 nt
Organism: Nylanderia fulva
Lineage: Eukaryota; Metazoa; Arthropoda; Insecta; Hymenoptera; Formicidae
Source: RefSeq, a predicted model, not a curated record